AGGCUUAAUACAUGCAAGUCGUGGGGUAGAGGGGUGCUUGCACUUCUUGAGACCGGCAAACGGGUGCGGAACACGUACACAACCUUCCUUUUAGAGGGGGAUAGCCCAGGGAAACUUGGAUUAAUACCCCGUAAGAUGUUGGUGAGGCAUCUCACUGAUAUUAUAGCAGCGAUGCGCUAGAAGACGGGUGUGCGUAUGAUUAGGUAGUUGGCGGGGUAAUGGCCCACCAAGCCAACGAUCAUUAACUGGUGUGAGAGCACGACCAGUCACACGGGCACUGAGACACGGGCCCGACUCCUACGGGAGGCAGCAGUAAGGAAUAUUGGUCAAUGGACGCAAGUCUGAACCAGCCAUGCCGCGUGGAGGAUGAAGGUCCUCUGGAUUGUAAACUUCUUUUAUCUGGGGCGAAAAAGGGUCUUUCUAGAUCAACUGACGGUACCAGAUGAAUAAGCACCGGCUAACUCCGUGCCAGCAGCCGCGGUAAUACGGAGGGUGCAAGCGUUAUCCGGAUUCACUGGGUUUAAAGGGAGCGUAGGUGGGCUAGUAAGUCAGUGGUGAAAUCUCCGAGCUUAACU
RNAcentral lists this ribosomal RNA (575 nucleotides) under uncultured bacterium. RNAcentral describes it as "bacterial SSU rRNA". It matches the Rfam family "Bacterial small subunit ribosomal RNA", at positions 44 to 614 of the family's 1533-position model. The record is from RNAcentral.